This 126-nucleotide small RNA is filed under the name Marmota monax (woodchuck). The record is from RNAcentral. Lineage: Eukaryota; Metazoa; Chordata; Mammalia; Rodentia; Sciuridae.
GCCGGGCACGGUGGCGCAUGCCUAUAAUCCAAGCGACUUGGGAGGCUGAGGCAGAAGGAUCACUAGUUCAAAGCCAGCCUCAGCAAAUGGCAAGGCACUAAGCAACUCAGUGAGGCCCUGUCUCUA